ACCCCCCGAAACUAGGCGAGCUACCCUAAAACAGCCCACAGAGCUAACCCAUCCCUAUUACAAAAUGGUGGAAAGAUUUUAGAGUAGAGGUGACACACCUACCGAGCCCAGAGAUAGCUGGUUAUUCAAAUAAACGGAUUUAAGUCCAACUUUAAGUUUAUCUUAGUAAUACUAAACAACCCAAUAAACUUAAAAGCCAUUCAAAUAAGGUACAGCCUAUUUGAACAAGGAAACAACCUACAACAUAGGGUAAUAUCUAAACAAGUGGCUAAGUAGGCCUAAAAGCAGCCAACUUCUUAAAAAGCGUCCAAGCCUCACCACCAGUAUUUCUAAUCUCACUAUAUAUACAAAACCCCCAACCACUACAGAAUGACCCCAUACACAUAUGGUAAACAAUAUGCUAGAACUAGUAACAAGAAGACGAACUUCUCCAAAAUGUAAACGUAAGCCAAAAUGAACCCCUCACCGGCACUUAUUCGCCAUAGUACCAACCACACAAGAAAAUCUUACUACUCGAAGCGCCAACCUUACACUAGA
RNAcentral lists this ribosomal RNA (537 nucleotides) under Stumpffia roseifemoralis. Its description in RNAcentral is "partial 16S ribosomal RNA". The stretch from base 5 to 121 matches the Rfam family "Bacterial large subunit ribosomal RNA", at positions 714 to 852 of the family's 2925-position model. The record is from RNAcentral. Lineage: Eukaryota; Metazoa; Chordata; Amphibia; Anura; Microhylidae.